Long non-coding RNA from Chelonia mydas (Green sea turtle), 171 nucleotides. RefSeq lists it as uncharacterized. Lineage: Eukaryota; Metazoa; Chordata; Testudines; Cheloniidae. The transcript has 3 exons. The record is from RefSeq and is a predicted model, not a curated record.
AACAAGGACAAGUGCAGAGUCCUACACUUAGGACGGAAGAAUUCCAUGCACCGCUAGAGGCUGGGGAUCAACUGGCUAAGCGGCUGUUCUGCAGAAAAGGACCUGGGGAUUACAGUAGGGUUACAGUGGACGAGAAGCUGGAUAUGAGUCAACAGUGUGCCCUUGUUGCCA